Long non-coding RNA from Eriocheir sinensis (Chinese mitten crab), 306 nucleotides. RefSeq lists it as uncharacterized. NCBI's taxonomy places the organism in Eukaryota, Metazoa, Arthropoda, Malacostraca, Decapoda, Varunidae. The transcript is spliced from 3 exons. The record is from RefSeq and is a predicted model, not a curated record.
GUGGUAGUUUGACCCUUCCUCUGUACCCUGAACCUAAAGAAACACAUAUUUGGCAAGGCUUUCCUAGGAGUCUUUGACAUUUCCAGGAGUAUAGUUUUAUGACCAGGUGGUAGUUUGACCCUUCCUCUGUACCCUGAACCUAAAGAAACACAUAUUUGGCAAGGCUUUCCUAGGAGUCUUUGACAUUUCCAGGAGUAUAGUUUUAUGACCAGGUGGUAGUUUGACCCUUCCUCUGUACCCUGAACAUGAAGAAACACAUAUUUGGCAAGGCUUUCCUAGGAGUCUUUGACAUUUCCAGGAGUAUAG